GACGAACGCUGGCGGCGCGCUUAACACAUGCAAGUCGAACGGUAAGGCCCUUCGGGGUACACGAGUGGCGAACGGGUGAGUAACACGUGGGUGAUCUGCCCUGCACUUCGGGAUAAGCCUGGGAAACUGGGUCUAAUACCGGAUAGGACCACUGCCUGCAUGGGUGGUGGUGGAAAGCUUUUGCGGUGUGGGAUGGGCCGGCGGCCUAUCACGUUGUUGGUGGGGUGAUGGCCUAACAAGGCGGCGACGGGUAGCCGGCCUGAGCGGGUGACCGACCACACUGGGACUGGGAUACGGCCCAGACUCCUACGGGAGGGAGCAGUGGGGAAUAUUGCACAAUGGGCGCAAGCCUGAUGCAGCGACGCCGCGUGAGGGAUGACGGCCUUCGGGUUGUAAACCUCUUUCAGCACCGACGAAGCGCAAGUGACGGUAGGUGCAGAAGAAGGACCGGCCAACUACGUGCCAGCCGCCGCCGUAA
This 478-nucleotide ribosomal RNA is filed under the name uncultured bacterium. RNAcentral's name for it is "partial 16S ribosomal RNA". It matches the Rfam family "Bacterial small subunit ribosomal RNA", at positions 28 to 523 of the family's 1533-position model. The record is from RNAcentral.